UGCUAGUCUGAUGGUAGUGGGUUAUCAGAACUUAUUAACAUUAGUGUCACUAAAGUUGAUAUAGAACCUUCCCACUGCUAAAUUUAGUUGGCUUUAA
This 97-nucleotide Y RNA is filed under the name Cercocebus atys (sooty mangabey). RNAcentral's name for it is "Y RNA (ENSCATG00000021358.1)". It matches the Rfam family "Y RNA". Rfam says of the family: Y RNAs are components of the Ro ribonucleoprotein particle (Ro RNP), in association with Ro60 and La proteins. The Y RNAs and Ro60 and La proteins are well conserved, but the function of the Ro RNP is not known. The record is from Rfam by way of RNAcentral. Lineage: Eukaryota; Metazoa; Chordata; Mammalia; Primates; Cercopithecidae.